GAUGAACGCUGGCGGCGUGCCUAAUACAUGCAAGUCGAGCGAACAGACCAGGACCUUUCUCCUCUGACGUUAUCGGCGGACGGGUGAUGAACACGUGGAUAAACUACCUAUAAGACUGGGAUAACAUCGGGAAACCGGAGCUAAGACCCGAUAAUAUAUUGAACCUCAUUGGUCCAUAGUUAAAGAAGCUUUUUCUUUGACUUAUAGAUUAAUCCGCGCAGCAUUAGCUAGUUGGUAAGGUGAAGGCUUAGCAAGGCAACGAUGCGUAGCCGACCUGAGAGGGUGAUCGGCCAGACUGGCAGUGAGACACGGUACAGACUCCUACGGGAGGCAGCAGUAGAGAAUCUUCCGCGAUGGGGGAGAGCUUGACGGAGCAAAGCCGCGUGAGGGAUGAAGGUCUUCGGACCGUAAAGCUCUGUUAUUAGGGAAGAACAAAUGUGUAAUUAACUAUGCACAUCUUGACGGUACCUAAUCAGAAAGCCCCGGCUAACUCCGUG
Molecule: ribosomal RNA, 497 nt
Filed under: uncultured bacterium
Lineage: Bacteria
Description: partial 16S ribosomal RNA
Rfam family: Bacterial small subunit ribosomal RNA
Source: RNAcentral